CCCUUAGAUGUCCGGGGCCGCACGCGCGCUACACUGAAGGAAUCAGCGUGGCUUUCUCCCUGACCCGAAAGGGUUGGGAAACCCGUUGAAUCUCCUUCGUGAUAGGGAUUGGGGCUUGAAAUUGUUCCCCAUGAACGAGGAAUUCCCAGUAAGCGCGAGUCAUAAGCUCGCGUUGAUUACGUCCCUGCCCUUUGUACACACCGCCCGUCGCUACUACCGAUUGAACGGUUUAGUGAGGGCCUCGGAUUGGUCUCGGCCCGCUCUUUACCGGGCGGCGCCGUUGGUCGAGAAGACGCUCGAACUUGAUCGUUUAGAGGAAGGAGAAGUCGUAACA
This 334-nucleotide ribosomal RNA is filed under the name uncultured eukaryote. RNAcentral describes it as "partial 18S ribosomal RNA". It matches the Rfam family "Eukaryotic small subunit ribosomal RNA", at positions 1470 to 1796 of the family's 1831-position model. The record is from RNAcentral.